GGAGAGAUGGCAGAGUGGUAAUGCAGCAGGUUGCUAAUCUGUCAACGCGAAAGUGUUGCCAGGGUUCGAGUCCCUGUCUCUCCGCAA
This 87-nucleotide transfer RNA is filed under the name Psychroflexus sp. S27. RNAcentral describes it as "tRNA-Ser". It matches the Rfam family "tRNA". Rfam says of the family: Transfer RNA (tRNA) molecules are approximately 80 nucleotides in length. Their secondary structure includes four short double-helical elements and three loops (D, anti-codon, and T loops). Lineage: Bacteria; Pseudomonadati; Bacteroidota; Flavobacteriia; Flavobacteriales; Flavobacteriaceae. The record is from RNAcentral.